CUAAGGCACAGAGAAGUGAAGUGAGCUAUGAAGUAGAGGAACUAGAAUUGGAUCCAGAUCUUUCGAUUUGCUUCCUGUGGUCCUACCUUGGUUCCUCCCACCAUUGUUUCCUGUCUCUUGCAAGCUUUCAUUUCUUUCCUGGAAUAGAGUCAUCUUUUGCACAAGCUUCUUCAGUGCAGAAAGGUGCUUCUGGCUCUCUCAAGAAGAAAAUAACAUUCCUAUCUAAUGUGACUUGCACCUGCUUUAAAAGUUUAACACCCGGGACUAGAUGGAAGACAUGGUUAUGUAUUUGCAGUUUAAGAAAUGCCCCCUGGAGAGCCAACAUGUCUACCCAAAGAUGGGCAUCUAAUCGUGGACUUCUGCGGGUUGGCCCAGGUUAGUGGGGAACUGUUCCAGGGUUGGCUUUUUGUGCCAUUUUGUACCGGUCUGCUCUCUCCAUCUAUACAUAAAGUCAGUCCAGGAAGGGAAGAAAUAUCUAGCGGUUGCAGCCGAUGAAGCGAUGGAAAGAAAAGCUUUUCUGAACCAGCUCAGGAGGAAAACAGGACCCUCCUUGCUUCAGAGAUGGCAGUGUCUGCAGAAGAACGAGGAAAAUGGCCACCCGGCACACCCUUGGCAUUCCCCGCUCUCUCCAAACUUGCCCUGCCUUCCAAGUGUAUAAAAGGUGUAAUUAGGGCUUAGGCCACUGGGUGGCGGGGAGCCGACGGCAGUGAACGAACCCUGUGGAGAUGACUUGUAAAGACUAUCCCAGCAGGAUGAGUUACACAAUUAAUUGUAGAGCUGGAUGGGAACUUGACCACAAUCUAAUCCAACCAUUUCAUUUUAUAAAAUUGGAAAAUGAGAGCUAGGAAAACGAAAUGACUCGUCGAAAGGUCAUGGAACUGGUUGGAAGAUCUAGCCCAGACUCCACAUUUUGUCUAUGAAGAAAAUGAGAUCCGAUGGAGUUUAUAUGGCUUUUCUACGGCCGCACAGUAGCCUUAGUGUGGACCUUGACCAUCUCUCUUUGGGAGUUUGCUCCAGUGAUAUAGGUCACAACCAUCCACACGAGACCGCCCUAUGUGACUCUUCUUCAUGUCCCCAUUAAGCUGCUGCAAGGUGUCCAGCAUGCUAGAGGCAUUUUUUAUUUCUCCUGAUGUCAUGAGGGCACUCGUAGAAAACACUGGCUGCUUACCUCUUGCACCUCAGUUUUGCCAUGUGAGAGCCCAUCUUCACUUUGAUCCCUUCCUUUGUCCCCUCCCUUUCUCCCCCUCAAAUGCCUUCCUAAAAUCCAGAUACACUCUCUAUGUCUACAGCAUUUCUUUGAUCUAGUAUAGCAGUCUUGUCUAUAAAGGAAAUCAAAUUAGGCUGUCACAACUCAUUCCUAAUAGACCAUGAUUACUCUUAGUCAUCACGUCCUCUCUUUCAAAGAGCUCGUAUAAUGUUCUUGGUACAGGCAGGUGGUGAGAAGACGAGGCACUGAGUUUGGCCUGGGUGUAACUGUACUUGAGUAUAGAUCUAGAGCUGGAAUGGACUGUGGAGGGCUUCUAGUCUAACCAAAUGAAGAUUUGAAGCUUCUAGAGAUUAACUUGUCCAAAGACAGAAAUAAUAAGUAGUAGGGUUGGGAUAUGGACUUAGGUUCCAGGAGUCCAAGUUCAUCAUUUUUUCUAUAGUUACUUUAUGUAUCACAAUAUUUUUAUUUAUUAAUGACUAUUAGGGUCAUUAAUCAAUAAACAAUAAAUAACAAUAAAACAAAAAUCUUUAACGUAUAAACAGAAAGAUAUAUUAAUUUAUAUAUUAGUUUGGGGCAACGAGAUGGUGCAGUGUUUAGAGCACCAGUCCUGGAGUCAGGAAGACCUGAAUUCAAAUCUGGUCUCAGACAUUAAAUACUUCCUAGCUAUGUGACCCUGGGCAAAUCAUUUAUUUAAGCCCAAUUGCCUCUCAAAAAGAAAAAAACAAAAAGAAUUACUCCUGUGUAUUGUUUUUUUUUGGGAGGGGGUAGAUAUGUUCAAUAUUCUGUCUUUUCCCAUUUCAUUCAGAUCAUUUAAUGCAUAUGAUGGGUUUUUUUUUUUUUUUAAUUUUCUGAGGCAAUUGGGGACUUGCCCAGGGUCACACAGUUAGGCAGUAUUAAGUGUCUGAGAUCACAUUUGAACUCAGAUCCUCCUGACUUUAAGGCUGGUGCUCUAUCCACUGCGCCACCUAGCUGCCCUGCAUAUGAUGUCUUAAUAGGAUAUUAUUCUGUGGAAUGGAGAAUUUGGUGGGGGAAGCAAUGGCACUCCAAUCUCAGCACUUUGUUUGGACAGCUCCUCUCUCUCCACCCUCAGUCUUGUGUUAUUCUUGUUGUGUAGGUCUGUCUUUUGAAUUCCAAGCUCCCAGAAGAUCAAAAUAUCAUAUUUUAAAUCUUUGUCUCUCUAGUCUUUUUGAUUUUAAGUUUCUAGAGGAGUAAAAUGGUAUAUUUAAAAUUUUUAUGACUAGUAUGGUGGCUUGCACAUGUUAGAAUUAGGUGCUUCAUAGAUGCUUUUUGACUUGGACUAAAAGGGGAACUCAAUUUAAUAACAACUAAGUAUAACAUAGGUCACCACUAAAAGAUGAAGUCUUGGAAAUUUCAAGCCAAAUAAAAUUCAUCCCUAUUGAGAGGCUACACAUUGUAGUGGAAAGAUCACUAGACUGGGAAUCAGGAGGCCUAGAUUAUAGGUCUAACGCUGCUGCUCUCUAGUUAUGUGGUCUUUGUAUGUCCCUUCACCUUGCUGCCCCUCAAUUUUUUAUCUCUAAAAUGGGAGAAUUGAAGUAGAUGGCUUCUCUUCUAGAAUAUUGCAGAAGAACUGAUACUACAGACAACAAAAAUUUUUUAAAAAUGCUUUUUGAGCUUUAUUUAGGGGCAAUGCAAACAAAAUAAAAUCAGUAUAUCUAGUAGUCGGAAUAGCCAGUUUUAGAGUAUGUGAAAUGAAGCUGAGAAGCCAGAACGAGGAUUCCAGAGUGCCACCAGAAAAGUGCAGACCAUGCUAUAGGAAGUUAGUAAUUAAGGGCAAGUAGGAGGUGCCAUUAGGGCACAGAGCGCUGGACCCAAGGUCAGAAACACCUGAAUUCAUCUCUGAUUUCAGACGUUCAUUAGCUGUGUGGCCCUGGGCAAGCUAAUUAACCUUUCUCUGCAAAGUUUUCUCAGCUGUAAAAUGGGAAUAGUAAUAGCAAGGUUGUUGGGAGUAACAAAUGAAAUAAUAUUUGUUAAGUGCUUAGCACAAUAUUUGGCACAUGGGAGAUGUAAUGGGAUGAGGCUUGAGUUGAUGCACUGAGGUCCCAAGCACGUGAGGCUAAAUAGCAAUUGGACCACACUCUAUUAAUAUAUAUGCUUGGAGAAAGAAUGGCCCCUACCCACUCUUUGUGCAAGUCCUGAUGUGUUGUAUAGGAAAUGACGUUUUUGGUGGGUGGAGGCAGGGGAGUGGAAAGGGAAGCGGAAGGAGAGACUGCUUGCUGGCGUCUUGACACAGCUACUCAUAUUGCCAUCGCAACCGCCCUUCACCUCUGAUCCCCCUCUGCUAGUUGUCUUCCUGUGGCAGCUGUCCAUAUUGCUAUCACAGUCCUUCUUCUCCUCUACUGAGAAUAAAGAUUGAAGAUUUUCCCCUUAACCUGAA
Antechinus flavipes (yellow-footed antechinus) is the source of this 3602-nucleotide long non-coding RNA. RefSeq lists it as uncharacterized. The transcript is spliced from 3 exons. The record is from RefSeq and is a predicted model, not a curated record. NCBI's taxonomy places the organism in Eukaryota, Metazoa, Chordata, Mammalia, Dasyuromorphia, Dasyuridae.